Molecule: long non-coding RNA, 337 nt
Filed under: Oryza brachyantha (malo sina)
Lineage: Eukaryota; Viridiplantae; Streptophyta; Magnoliopsida; Poales; Poaceae
Description: long non-coding RNA (OBRA_LNC000308)
Source: RNAcentral
GCUAGGGUUUCGUGGGCGCACGGGAGGAGCACGGGAGGGAGUACUGGGAGGGAGAAGCUAGGCAUGGGCAUGGAGAGUAAUUUUUCUAGGUGGGUUUCACAUGUAAGAGGUUAGUUUUUAACAGAAGGUGGAUGGAAUGACAUGUAUAUAAAUAAAAGUUAGGUUUAUGGUAGACAUGUGUCUAUCAAAUUUUUUGUAACACACAAAUAAGCAUCAACUUUUUAAUGGCAUAGGCGUAAAAGACUCUCACCGUCACUGUCACCGUCACUGUGUUCGUUCAUUUCGUUGGUUUUUCGCGGACAAACUUCGCAGACUGUUAUUCUAUCUUUUAUGUCUU